AUUGAACGCUGGCGGCAGGCCUAACACAUGCAAGUCGAGCGGAUGAAGGGAGCUUGCUCCUGGAUUCAGCGGCGGACGGGUGAGUAAUGCCUAGGAAUCUGCCUGGUAGUGGGGGAUAACUUCCGGAAACGGGCGCUAAUACCGCAUACGUCCUGAGGGAGAAAGUGGGGGAUCUUCGGACCUCACGCUAUCAGAUGAGCCUAGGUCUGAUUAGCUAGUUGGUGGGGUAAAGGCCUACCAAGGCGACGAUCCGUAACUGGUCUGAGAGGAUGAUCAGUCACACUGGAACUGAGACACGGUCCAGACUCCUACGGGAGGCAGCAGUGGGGAAUAUUGGACAAUGGGCGAAAGCCUGAUCCAGCCAUGCCGCGUGUGUGAAGAAGGUCUUCGGAUUGUAAAGCACUUUAAGUUGGGAGGAAGGGCAGUAAGUUAAUACCUUGCUGUGUUGACGUUACCAACAGAAUAAGCACCGGCUAACUUCGUG
Molecule: ribosomal RNA, 484 nt
Filed under: uncultured bacterium
Lineage: Bacteria
Description: partial 16S ribosomal RNA
Rfam family: Bacterial small subunit ribosomal RNA
Source: RNAcentral